Python bivittatus (Burmese python) is the source of this 255-nucleotide non-coding RNA. NCBI's taxonomy places the organism in Eukaryota, Metazoa, Chordata, Lepidosauria, Squamata, Pythonidae. The record is from RefSeq and is a predicted model, not a curated record.
CUCCCUCCCUCCCCAGGAGCAUUAAAAGAAAGGGUGGGGGAACAGGCAGGAUGUUAUGCACAGCCCGGGCGGAGAGCCUUUUCUGGAGGAAGGAAAGACGCCACGGGCGAUCUGCUGGAUCUGAUGCAAUGGAUCUGCGGGAUCUGAUGCAACGCUGAUCGGCCGGAGCGGACGACCCCAAGUUGAGUUGAAGAAAACCAGCCUCUGCCUCCCUGCCCUUGGAAGUACAAAACAAGAUUCUUGCAACCACAGACG